This 306-nucleotide unclassified non-coding RNA is filed under the name plant metagenome. RNAcentral describes it as "partial contains 5.8S ribosomal RNA, internal transcribed spacer 2, and large subunit ribosomal RNA". The stretch from base 1 to 105 matches the Rfam family "5.8S ribosomal RNA", at positions 50 to 154 of the family's 154-position model. The record is from RNAcentral.
GAAAUGCGAUAAGUAAUGUGAAUUGCAGAAUUCAGUGAAUCAUCGAAUCUUUGAACGCACAUUGCGCCCGCCAGUAUUCUGGCGGGCAUGCCUGUCCGAGCGUCAUUUCAACCAUCAAGCCCCCGGGCUUGUGUUGGGGACCUGCGGCUGCCCGCAGGCCCUGAAAACCAGUGGCGGGCUCGCUGUCACACCGAGCGUAGUAGCAAUCACCUCGCUCAGGGCGUGCUGCGGGUUCCGGCCGUUAAACAGCCUUACAAAACCCAAGGUUGACCUCGGAUCAGGUAGGAAGACCCGCUGAACUUACGC